RNAcentral lists this ribosomal RNA (459 nucleotides) under uncultured bacterium. Its description in RNAcentral is "partial 16S ribosomal RNA". It matches the Rfam family "Bacterial small subunit ribosomal RNA", at positions 339 to 795 of the family's 1533-position model. The record is from RNAcentral.
CUACGGGCCGCAGCAGUGAGGAAUAUUGGUCAAUGGAGGCAACUCUGAACCAGCCAUCCCGCGUGCAGGAUGACAGUCCUAGUGAUUGUAAACUGCUUUUGUUUGCCAAGAACCGCAUCUACGUGUAGGUGCCUGACGGUAGCAAACGAAUAAGCAUCGGCUAACUCCGUGCCAGCAGCCGCGGUAAUACGGAGGAUGCAAGCGUUAUCCGGAGUUAUUAGGUUUAAAGGGUGUGUAGGCGGACUGUUAAGUCAGUGGUGAAAGUCUGUAGCUCAACUAUAGAAUUGCCAUUGAUACUGGUAGUCUUGAGUGCGGUUGAGGUAUGCGGAAUGUGUAAUGUAGCGGUGAAAUGCAUAGAUAUUACACAGAACACCGAUUGCGAAGGCAGCAUACUAAGCCGUUACUGACGCUGAUGCACGAAAGCGUGGGGAGCGAACAGGAUUAGAUACCCGGGUAGUC